GGGGCAUUAGCUCAGUUGGGAGAGCGCAUCGCUGGCAGCGAUGAGGUCGUCGGUUCGAGCCCGACAUGCUCCAUCA
This 76-nucleotide transfer RNA is filed under the name Lentibacillus sp. CBA3610. RNAcentral describes it as "tRNA-Ala". It matches the Rfam family "tRNA". Rfam says of the family: Transfer RNA (tRNA) molecules are approximately 80 nucleotides in length. Their secondary structure includes four short double-helical elements and three loops (D, anti-codon, and T loops). Lineage: Bacteria; Bacillati; Bacillota; Bacilli; Caryophanales; Bacillaceae. The record is from RNAcentral.